Non-coding RNA from Phascolarctos cinereus (koala), 650 nucleotides. Lineage: Eukaryota; Metazoa; Chordata; Mammalia; Diprotodontia; Phascolarctidae. The record is from RefSeq and is a predicted model, not a curated record.
UACUGUCCUCUAUCCUUGAAUCCCUUCCCUUUUCAUCCCUUGUCAAAUCCCAACCCUGGAUUACUCCUAUCAUCUGCCCUCUCCAUUACUAUCCAUACUCUGCUGAACAGUGGUAGCACAAUGAUAGGGGAAGGAUCUAGAAGCAACAGUGAGGAGCAAGAAGCAUCCCUCCUCUUUCUUAGAAUGAGAGAAGGUACAUCCAGUGUUGGAAGACUUUUCAAGUUCAAAAUCAAUUUACCAGUAGGAACUACUUUUUAAUAACACUUUAAAGAAUGUUAUAGAGAUCAUCAAGAAAGAUGUUAAGUUGAAUAAGACUGAUUGCUGAAGAAACCCUGGGAUGCCCAUUUAGUAUGCUAGAGCUCACUCCGAGUCAUGGACAAUUACCCUCCUGUCAGUGCAGCUGCCAAGUUGGUUGUUCACCCAUAACUAUGCUGAGGUUAAGAUGAUGCUCUGUAGCUCUUCAGACUGACACGUGGGAGAAAAUCAAAAGUUUUAUUUAAAUCAAGAUAGAAGAGUGGAAAACGGGAGUUGUAAUAUGUGUGGGCUGUUAUUUCCAACCCUGGUCUUUCUCCUAAACUGUGAUCAUUCACAUCAACACGUACCUAUUGGAUGUUUCAAAUUGGAUGUACUAUACAGAUUUCAAAAUAAAC